Betta splendens (Siamese fighting fish) is the source of this 814-nucleotide long non-coding RNA. RefSeq lists it as uncharacterized. The transcript has 2 exons. The record is from RefSeq and is a predicted model, not a curated record. Lineage: Eukaryota; Metazoa; Chordata; Actinopteri; Anabantiformes; Osphronemidae.
CGUUAUGGCAACGAAAUAUUUAAUUUAAAUAAUUGAUACUCAUUUUGAGACAAAGACACAAUUAAUUAUCGCGUAUAAUCCCUGAAAUAUUUAGCAUAGCUAGAAAUGUCACAAUUCACCAUUUAGAAUGUUAGCUCGAUGCUAAUCCGUUAUGGGGUUUACUAUUUCCGUGCUGACGGAAAUUAGCAUCGCGUCCGCUGGUAAUGAUCAUCUUCAACACUGCAAAGCCGCGUGUGUAAUUCAUCUUACGAAACGUGGAGAAAGACGUCGGCACGGAGAAGGCAAGAUUAUCCCUCCAGUGGAUUUCUACUUGACAGAGAGUGGGCUGCUUUUGAACUUUCACUGACUGAAGCCUCUUCUCACUCCCUAGCUGCUCAUGAGACACAAGUGGCUCAGACAUAUGGGGGGUGGGGGGCUUGCAAAGAGGGUGAUGUCAGACGCAGAGAAAAAAGAAAAAGUCGAGGGAGAGAAGCUUCAGGGAAUGAAGGAGGAGAUACGGUAAACAAGACAAGAGCCUCUGCUGUUUGUCCAGUAAACUGGUUUGCUGAUGGUUAAAUUCUGUGAAUAUUUAUUUCUGGCAUUCUUCACUGGACAUUUUCAGAAAUAAUCAAAGAAAUGAUAUCGUAGAAGCCGAACAGAGCUGCUUCUAUGAUGGAAACACCUGCAAACUGUCAGAGUCACCAAAUACACAAUAUCCAUGUUCAACCUCUGCAUGUUUUGUUGGGCUGGUAGCUUGUUAGUAUGAUUAUUUUCUAGAAUGCAAUGAAAACUAAAAUCUGUCAUUUUUUAAUGUGAUUAAAAAAAAGAGAUGAUA